This 375-nucleotide ribosomal RNA is filed under the name uncultured haloarchaeon. RNAcentral describes it as "bacterial SSU rRNA". It matches the Rfam family "Archaeal small subunit ribosomal RNA", at positions 448 to 822 of the family's 1478-position model. The record is from RNAcentral. Lineage: Archaea; Methanobacteriati; Methanobacteriota; Halobacteria; Halobacteriales; Halobacteriaceae.
AAGACCGGUGCCAGCCGCCGCGGUAAUACCGGCAGCCCGAGUGAUGGCCGAUCUUAUUGGGCCUAAAGCGUCCGUAGCUGGGUCUGAAAGUCCAUCGGGAAAUCCACUCGCUCAACGAGUGGCCGUCCGGUGGAAACUCCACACCUUGGGACCGGAAGGCUCGAAGGGUACGGCCGGGGUAGGAGUGAAAUCCUGUAAUCCCGUCCGGACCACCGAUGGCGAAAGCACUUCGAGAAAACGGAUCCGACAGUGAGGGACGAAAGCUAAGAUCGCGAACCGGAUUAGAUACCCGGGUAGUCUUAGCCGUAAACAAUGUUCGUUAGGUAUGACACAGACUACGCGUCUGUGUUGUGCCGUAGGGAAGCCGAGAAACGA